This is a long non-coding RNA of Humulus lupulus (European hop), 551 nucleotides long. RefSeq lists it as uncharacterized. The record is from RefSeq and is a predicted model, not a curated record. The transcript has 2 exons. Lineage: Eukaryota; Viridiplantae; Streptophyta; Magnoliopsida; Rosales; Cannabaceae.
UCCAUUCUCUUCUCUAACAUUACACUUACCAAAGUUUUCUCUCUCAGCUUUUACUCUAAAAUAAAAAAAAAUCACUUUUGGAGAGACCCAUUUUAGUGUUUAACAAGGAUUUUCAAGUAAGCAAAGGAGUUUCGGCAAGGAACCAGUGAAUUUUGGGUCUUUGAUCAUUCACACUUCCGAGCACGUCGAUGGGUGUGGAUUUCAUCGAGAAUAAAAGCACAAGGUUUGGGUGGCACAAGCCAAGGAAACUUGUAGUCUGAUUUAACUUGCUUGUUAUCUCGAAGGAUUAGGAGAUAUUUAUGAGACCAUUUUUUUUCUUUGAACUUUUUUUUUUCAAUAUUUUUUAUAGAUUUAUUUUGUAAUUCUUGUAAAAGUAUUGCUCUUGGUCGGGUACUCCUAUUUGCUCUUGUAUUGCUCACAGUCUCAAUGUCCAGCUGAUCAAUGUUCUUUUGAUAAUCUAUAUUCUUUUUUUGACAAUAAAAUAUACAUCCUUUUCCAUUUUCAAUGUGAAAAAGAUAAAUAAAGUUUAUUCACAUAACUAUCAUUUUAUU